GCCAGGGUGGUGUAGUGGCUUGAGCGUUGGACUUACGACCCUGAAGAUCAGGGUUCAAAUCCCUGCCCCACCA
Non-coding RNA from Phrynosoma platyrhinos (Desert horned lizard), 73 nucleotides. NCBI's taxonomy places the organism in Eukaryota, Metazoa, Chordata, Lepidosauria, Squamata, Phrynosomatidae. The record is from the annotation of a GenBank genome assembly.